This 232-nucleotide ribosomal RNA is filed under the name uncultured bacterium. Its description in RNAcentral is "partial 16S ribosomal RNA". It matches the Rfam family "Bacterial small subunit ribosomal RNA", at positions 99 to 334 of the family's 1533-position model. The record is from RNAcentral.
CGGACGGGUGAGUAAUAUCUGGGAGACUGCCCGAUGGAGGGGGAUAACUACUGGAAACGGUAGCUAAUACCGCAUAACGUCGCAAGACCAAAGAGGGGGACCUUCGGGCCUCUUGCCAUCGGAUGUGCCCAGAUGGGAUUAGCUAGUAGGUGGGGUAACGGCUCACCUAGGCGACGAUCCCUAGCUGGUCUGAGAGGAUGACCAGCCACACUGGAACUGAGACACGGUCCAG